Molecule: ribosomal RNA, 3747 nt
Filed under: Triticum aestivum (bread wheat)
Lineage: Eukaryota; Viridiplantae; Streptophyta; Magnoliopsida; Poales; Poaceae
Description: partial small subunit ribosomal RNA
Source: RNAcentral
AUGGCUAUGGUUUGGCGGAUGCUACUGCUCUUUCUUGCAGUGCUCCACGCACAAGCCACCUCCGGAGCACACGGUGAUGGUAACCUCACUCUCCUAUGCCAUUCAGAUGAAGCAGCAACCCUCCUCCAACUAAAGAAAUCCAUCUUAUUCUCUAAAGCCAUCACCAGCCUUCCAUCUUGGCAAGACGGCAGCAACUGUUGUCAUUGGGAAGGUGUUGGCUGCGGUGGCUCCACUGGUCGUGUCACGACCCUCAACCUCAAUGGUCGUGGCUUGAUCAGCCCAGGUCUUGACCCUGUGAUCUUUAAUCUCACCUCUCUCCGAUUUCUCGACCUUAGCAUGAAUGACUUUAGCGGAAAGUCCAUGAUAAGUGGAUUUAGCGGCUAUAGCAUGCCCACUGUUGGAUUCGAGAGACUUACUUUUCUCGCCCACCUCAACCUCUCCAAAUCAGGAUUUGAGGGUGAAAUCCCUAUUGCCAUCGGCAAACUUGAGAAUCUUGUCUCCUUAGAUCUUUCUAUUGACGUGGAAGAUGACUUCCUACUGAACUCGUCAUGGAUAUCUGAUUUUCAAGGCCUAGUGGGGAACCUCCGCAAUCUGAGAGAGCUCUACCUUGAUGGUGUGGAUAUGUCUCGUAGCGGAGAAGGGUGGUGUGACACUCUAGUUAAAUCUACUCCUCGUCUUCAGGUUCUUAGCUUGGGGGAGUGUUAUCUCUACGGUCCGAUCCACCAAUCCCUUUUGAACCUCAGCUCUCUAACUGUGAUCAAUCUCCAAAGCAACAGUGAUAUCUUUGCUGGACGGUUUCCAGAGUUCUUCAUGGAUUUUGUCAAUUUAACUGUGCUUCAAGUUUAUGAUAAUAAUCUUGAGGGAUGGUUCCCUCCUAGGAUCUUCCAGUCGAAAAGACUAAGGUUCCUUGAUUUGUCUGGCAAUACAGCCCUUUCCGGGAGUUUGCUGAACUUUUCUGAUGCAAGGUCUUUACAUUCUUUGAUACUAUAUGAGACCAACUUUUCAUUUUCUAAACCAAGCUCUUUCAGCAAUUUCUUCUCAUUGCAAGAGUUAGCUCUCGAUGCAAAAUAUAUUUCUGCUGAGUUUCGCUCUUCACUCAAUAUGCUUCCCUCUUUGAGCGUAUUGUGGCUCAGUGGGUUGGGCUUCUCAGGAGAGUUAGAAUCAACAUUUUCAUGGAUUCGGGACCUGAAGAACUUGGCAGGCUUGGUACUUUUCGAAUGCGACCUCUCUAGCACAAAAUCGUCCUCCAUUAGCAACUUCAACAGCUUGAGAAGACUGAGUAUUUUCACUUGCAACCUCACUAUGCCAAUACUAUCUGCAGUUGGUAAUCUCAUGGACUUGCAAAGCUUGGUUAUAUCUGGUUGUGGACUAAGUGGGCCGAUGCCAUCUUCAAUUGGCAACCUCACAAAUUUAAGAACAUUGGAUAUCUCUUAUUGUGAUUUUCUAGGGCCAAUCCCAAUUUCAAUUGGCAAUCUCGUGAAUUUGAGAAGCCUGAGUCUAUCUUCUUCUCGCUUUUCUGGACCCAUGCCCUCUGAAAUGGGCAACAUCACGAAUUUAAGAAGCUUGCAUAUCAUUGAUUGCGGUUUUCCAGGGCCAGUGCCAUCUACAAUUGGCAAUCUCGUGAAUUUGAGAAGCAUGCAUCUAUUAUAUUCUAACUUUUCUGGGCCAAUACCGUGCACAAUUGGCAACCUCAGUAGGUUGCAAAGCAUGCAACUCGAGUGCAAGCUUUCUGGGACAAUACCAUAUGAAAUUGGGCAGCUCAAGGAGUUGACAUCUUUCGUACUUGGAGGUAACAACUUUACUGGGGAAAUACCAAAUUCUGUUGGUAAUUUGACUAAUCUGCAGUAUUUGGAUCUCUCACGGAAUUAUCUCAACGGGGAAAUUCCAGCUUCUCUCUCCAAUCUUCCAUUGCAACACUUGGAUCUUUCUCAGAACCAACUUUCUGGCCCUAUAAAGGAGUUCACGGUGGCAUCUUUGGGCUUGGAGUACUUGGACCUAGGCGUGAAUGAAUUGACUGGGCAGAUUCCAAGGUCCAUUCUUGACCUCACAAGUUUAAGAAAACUGUUUAUUGAAUGGAACAACUUGGUAGGUUUGGUGCAACUUACCUCAUUUUGGAGGCUAAGAAACCUAAUUGAUCUGAGGCUUUCGCACAAUAAAUUGUCUAUCGUGGAUGGAGAAGGCAAUAAUAACUCCUCAACCUAUCUCUCUAGAAUUUCCACCUUAGAGCUUGCGUGUUGCAACAUAACCAAAUUUCCGACUGUUUUGGCACGUGUUAGCUAUGUGCGUGAUUUGGAUCUCUCAUGCAAUAGACUCAGUGGGGACAUACCAGAUCGGAUAUGGGGGAGAUGGAACAAUAGUCUUUCAUAUUUAAAUCUUUCACACAACCUGUUCACCGGUAUGCAACUUAAUUCAUAUUUUCUCCCUUCAAGUACACUGGAAAUUCUUGAUCUUAGUGCUAAUCGUCUCGAGGGGCAGAUUCCUAUACCAUACUCGCCAUUGUUAUUUGUGGAUUAUUCACACAAUAAUUUCUCUUCUGUUCUUCCAAACUUCACUUCAUAUCUUGGUACCACAUAUCUCAGCAUGUCCAACAACAGUAUAAAUGGAUGCAUGACAGAUUCAGUUUGCAGUGGAAUUAUGGGUGUGUUUGACCUAUCCUACAACAAUUUUAGUGGGCCGAUUCCUGCCUGUCUGAUAGAAAGUGGUGGACUGAUGGUGUUAAAUUUGAGGGAAAAUAACUUUGAAGGGACGUUGCCAUCCAAAAUUACAAGUGAAUGUACUUUCCAGACAAUAGAUUUACAUGGCAAUAAGAUUGAGGGGAAGCUUCCGAGGGCACUUUCUAACUGCAGUAAGUUGGAGGUUCUUGACAUUGGAAACAACCUGUUACUUGAUACUUUCCCAUCUUGGCUAGGGGAGCUUCCCAAUCUUUAUGUUCUUAUCUUAAGAUCCAACCAAUUCUAUGGUUCGGUAGAUGAUGUUGUUGGGAAUUACCAAACCAGAGAGUACUUCCCUACCUUGCAAAUUAUUGAUCUUGCUGCGAACAACUUCUCUGGCAAUUUAAAUUCAAAAUGGUUUAGAAAAUUAAAAUCAAUGAUGAUGAGGUUCAAUAGUGCAGGAGAUAUUGUCAGUGCUAAAAACAUACCAGGUAUUCAGGCAUUCUACCAGGACACUGUAGUGAUAACAUACAAGGGCUCCGAGGUGACAUUUGGAAGGAUCCUGACCACUUUAACAGCAAUUGACCUUUCAAAUAAUAGAUUGGAAGGUACCAUUCCUGAGUCAGUUGGACAACUUGUUUCACUGCGCGUACUGAACAUGUCACACAAUGCAUUCACGGGAAAAAUUCCAACCCAGCUUGGCGGUGUGACUGAUCUGGAGUCACUAGACAUGUCUUGCAACCAACUCGCUGGGGAGAUUCCACAGGAACUCACAAAUCUCACCUCUCUGGCCACCCUGAACUUGUCCGACAACCGGUUGGUGGGGAAGAUACCGCAGUCAGGCCAGUUCCUCACAUUUGACAUCAAUUCAUUCGAAGGGAAUUUGGGGUUGUGUGGACCGCCAUUCUCCAAGCCUUGUGGCGUAUCACUUGCUCCUCCAAGCCCUGCCCGUGUGGAGAAGUCUUCUAAUGUGGAUGUCAUCCUGUUUCUCUUUGUCGGGCUGGGCUUCGGUGUUGGAUUUGCAGCUGCCAUUCUGAUGAGAUGGGGUCGAAUCAGAAAAUGGUUUGUUAAAUCUGCAAGAGCUUUGUGGACUUGA